Molecule: transfer RNA, 88 nt
Filed under: Streptococcus oralis
Lineage: Bacteria; Bacillati; Bacillota; Bacilli; Lactobacillales; Streptococcaceae
Also listed under: 1 other name
Description: tRNA-Ser
Rfam family: tRNA
About the family: Transfer RNA (tRNA) molecules are approximately 80 nucleotides in length. Their secondary structure includes four short double-helical elements and three loops (D, anti-codon, and T loops).
Source: RNAcentral
GGAGAAUUACUCAAGAGGCUGAAGAGGACGGUUUGCUAAAUCGUUAGGUCGGAUAACCGGCGCGGGGGUUCGAAUCCCCCAUUCUCCG